GAUGAACGCUGGCGGCGUGCCUAAUACAUGCAAGUCGAGCGAACAGACGAGGAGCUUGCUCCUCUGACGUUAGCGGCGGACGGGUGAGUAACACGUGGAUAACCUACCUAUAAGACUGGGAUAACUUCGGGAAUCCGGAGCUAAUACCGGAUAAUAUAUUGAACCGCAUGGUUCAAUAGUGAAAGACGGUUUUGCUGUCACUUAUAGAUGGAUCCGCGCCGCAUUAGCUAGUUGGUAAGGUAACGGCUUACCAAGGCGACGAUGCGUAGCCGACCUGAGAGGGUGAUCGGCCACACUGGAACUGAGACACGGUCCAGACUCCUACGGGAGGCAGCAGUAGGGAAUCUUCCGCAAAGGGCGAAAGCCUGACGGAGCAACGCCGCGUGAGUGAUGAAGGUCUUCGGAUCGUAAAACUCUGUUAUUAGGGAAGAACAAAUGUGUAAGUAACUAUGCACGUCUUGACGGUACCUAAUCAGAAAGCCACGGCUAACUACGUG
Molecule: ribosomal RNA, 497 nt
Filed under: uncultured bacterium
Lineage: Bacteria
Description: partial 16S ribosomal RNA
Rfam family: Bacterial small subunit ribosomal RNA
Source: RNAcentral